Molecule: ribosomal RNA, 513 nt
Filed under: Triticum aestivum (bread wheat)
Lineage: Eukaryota; Viridiplantae; Streptophyta; Magnoliopsida; Poales; Poaceae
Description: partial small subunit ribosomal RNA
Source: RNAcentral
AUGGCGUGCCACCGCCGCCGCCAUCGCCGCCGCAACCACCGGGACGGCGGCUGGUCUCCUCUGCGCGGAUGCAGGCGUCGCGGUGGGUCUGGUCGGGAGGGACGAGGCCUCCUCGCCCACCACGGGGAGCGCGCUGAACAUCUCCGUUGGCCGCAGACCGUGGAAAAAUCAUCUCGCUGCCCCUGCGAGUUCGCCGCCAAGCUGCUCGUCGCCGUGGUGCUUGCCAUCACGCACCGGCCACCAUGGCUCGUCGGCACCAGCUUUGCUGCUGCGCACUUCUCCCCCGGCCAUCGUGCAGCCGUGGCCACCACCAGCUCGCAGCCUCUACUACCACCACCACUCCUGCUGCUCGCCAUGACCACACCCGUCCACCACCACCGCCCCCAAGCAAAAUCCCGCCUCCGCCCCGCAUCAAACGCCUGGAUCCGCGGACUGCCGCCGCCGCAGCACGACCUAAAUCGAUGGAGAGUGGAGAGCUGGAGCUCGCCGGUGGAGAGGAUUAGGAACCUCUGA